GUGGGGAAUAUUGGACAAUGGGCGAAAGCCUGAUCCAGCCAUGCCGCGUGUGUGAAGAAGGUCUUCGGAUUGUAAAGCACUUUAAGUUGGGAGGAAGGGCAGUAAGUUAAUACCUUGCUGUUUUGACGUUACCGACAGAAUAAGCACCGGCUAACUUCGUGCCAGCAGCCGCGGUAAUACGAAGGGUGCAAGCGUUAAUCGGAAUUACUGGGCGUAAAGCGCGCGUAGGUGGUUUUGUAAGUUGGAGGUGAAAUCCCCGGGCUCAACCUGGGAACUGCCACCAAAACUGCAUGACUAGAGUACGGUAGAGGGUAGUGGAAUUUCCUGUGUAGCGGUGAAAUGCGUAGAUAUAGGAAGGAACACCAGUGGCGAAGGCGACUACCUGGACUGAUACUGACACUGAGGUGCGAAAGCGUGGGGAGCAAACAGGAUUAGAUACCCCUGUAGUCC
RNAcentral lists this ribosomal RNA (450 nucleotides) under uncultured bacterium. RNAcentral describes it as "partial 16S ribosomal RNA". It matches the Rfam family "Bacterial small subunit ribosomal RNA", at positions 354 to 796 of the family's 1533-position model. The record is from RNAcentral.